UCCUGACUGACCGAUAGUGAACCAGUACCGUGAGGGAAAGGCGAAAAGAACCCCGGCGAGGGGAGUGAAAAAGAACCUGAAACCGUGUACGUACAAGCAGUGGGAGCACGCUUAGGCGUGUGACUGCGUACCUUUUGUAUAAUGGGUCAGCGACUUAUAUUCUGUAGCAAGGUUAACCGAAUAGGGGAGCCGAAGGGAAACCGAGUCUUAACUGGGCGUUAAGUUGCAGGGUAUAGACCCGAAACCCGGUGAUCUAGCCAUGGGCAGGUUGAAGGUUGGGUAACACUAACUGGAGGACCGAACCGACUAAUGUUGAAAAAUUAGCGGAUGACUUGUGGCUGGGGGUGAAAGGCCAAUCAAACCGGGAGAUAGCUGGUUCUCCCCGAAAGCUAUUUAGGUAGCGCCUCGUGAAUUCAUCUCCGGGGGUAGAGCACUGUUUCGGCAAGGGGGUCAUCCCGACUUACCAACCCGAUGCAAACUGCGAAUACCGGAGAAUGUUAUCACGGGAGACACACGGCGGGUGCUAACGUCCGUCGUGAAGAGGGAAACAACCCAGACCGCCAGCUAAGGUCCCAAAGUCAUGGUUAAGUGGGAAACGAUGUGGGAAGGCCCAGACAGCCAGGAUGUUGGCUUAGAAGCAGCCAUCAUUUAAAGAAAGCGUAAUAGCUCACUGGUCGAGUCGGCCUGCGCGGAAGAUGUAACGGGGCUAAACCAUGCACCGAAGCUGCGGCAGCGAUGCUUAUGCGUUGUUGGGUAGGGGAGCGUUCUGUAAGCCUGCGAAGGUGUGCUGUGAGGCAUGCUGGAGGUAUCAGAAGUGCGAAUGCUGACAUAAGUAACGAUAAAGCGGGUGAAAAGCCCGCUCGCCGGAAGACCAAGGGUUCCUGUCCAACGUUAAUCGGGGCAGG
RNAcentral lists this ribosomal RNA (905 nucleotides) under Shigella sonnei. RNAcentral describes it as "partial 23S ribosomal RNA". It matches the Rfam family "Bacterial large subunit ribosomal RNA", at positions 474 to 1378 of the family's 2925-position model. The record is from RNAcentral. Lineage: Bacteria; Pseudomonadati; Pseudomonadota; Gammaproteobacteria; Enterobacterales; Enterobacteriaceae.